UGCGCAGGCGGGCUUGUAAGUCAGUGGUGAAAUUCUGCCGCUUAACGGUAGAACUGCCAUUGAUACUGCAAGUCUUGAGUAUGGUUGAGGUAGGCGGAAUGUGUUGUGUAGCGGUGAAAUGCAUAGAUAUGACACAGAACGCCAAUCGCGAAGGCAGCUUACUAAGCCAUUAUUGACGCUGAGGCACGAAAGCGUGGGGAGCGAACAGGAUUAGAUACCCUGGUAGUCC
RNAcentral lists this ribosomal RNA (229 nucleotides) under uncultured bacterium. RNAcentral's name for it is "partial 16S ribosomal RNA". It matches the Rfam family "Bacterial small subunit ribosomal RNA", at positions 568 to 796 of the family's 1533-position model. The record is from RNAcentral.